GAUGAAGAACGUAGCGAAAUGCGAUAAGUAAUGUGAAUUGCAGAAUUCAGUGAAUCAUCGAAUGUUUGAACGCACAUUGCGCCCGCCAGUAUUCUGGCGGGCAUGCCUGUUCGAGCGUCAUUUCAACCCUCAAGACCCCUUCGGGGGACUUGGUGUUGGGGACCGGCACAGGGGCCUGCCUGCUUGUCUUGCAGCGCCCUCGCCGCCCCCGAAAUGAAUUGGCGGCCUCGUCGCGGCCUCCCCUGCGUAGUAGCACAAACCUCGCAACGGGAACGUGACGGCGGCCACUGCCGUAAAACAACCCAAUUUUAUUAGAGUUGACCUCGAAUCAGGUAGGAAUACCCGCUGAACUUAAGCAUAUCAAUAAGCGGAGGA
RNAcentral lists this unclassified non-coding RNA (375 nucleotides) under soil metagenome. RNAcentral describes it as "partial contains 5.8S ribosomal RNA, internal transcribed spacer 2, and large subunit ribosomal RNA". The stretch from base 1 to 120 matches the Rfam family "5.8S ribosomal RNA", at positions 35 to 154 of the family's 154-position model. The record is from RNAcentral.